RNAcentral lists this long non-coding RNA (968 nucleotides) under Homo sapiens (human). RNAcentral describes it as "HSALNT0359355". The record is from RNAcentral. Lineage: Eukaryota; Metazoa; Chordata; Mammalia; Primates; Hominidae.
GUAUCACUGUGUAUGAUGUAUUGUGCUUUGUGAUGUCACUGCAGGUAUAAUCAAGGACAGAAAAUCAGUAUUGAUGGGGCAAGCCAUGGGACUGGAAGGCAGCAGGCAGAUGUCAGGGUUGGGGAUUACUGGCUCAGAAGCAGGAAAUCUCAUGUAGAAGCCCAGAACUUUCAAGAGAUAAGAAGUAGAGAGAUUCUGGUUUAAAGAGAGAUGACAGAAGCCCUGAAUGUCCUCUCUUCUGCUCCCCCAGAUACCUUCAUGGACUACAGGGCUGUACAUACGACUGUUGAAGUUUAUAACUAAAAAUAAACCAAUAGGAAAGCUAGCCAUGCCAUAGUGGCUACAUGCAUGGGAUGUGAAGCCACACUUCCUGAGUUUGAAUCCCAGCUCUGCCUCAUCUUAAAAGUGUGAUCAUAGAGAGGGUCAUGGGAUACAUGAACUUCAGGCUUAAUCUCUGUGUGAGAAAAACAGCAUGAAGAUAAUCAACUCUAUGUCAGAAGAAAUUGGCAACACUACUAACCACGAGUAAUGCACACCGAAGGGUUGUGAAGAGGACGUUACUAUUUGUACACUGUUUUGAGCAGUGCCUGCUGUACAGUAAGGACCAUAUAUGUGUUUAUAAAAUAAAUCUUAGUUGCUAUAGGCAACACCACGCAGCUGAGAGUGGCCGCACAUUGACUCUCUUAAAGAACACUUCCUCUCUUGCUCAUCCUACUCAGCUCAUAAAAGUUCCAGGGAAAAUCAUACAUUGGACAAGACAAGGAUCAGCUGUUCUUCAUUUUUACUUAGGAAGGCUAAGAGGAAUUUACACUGAAAAACCUCCUGCAAGGAUGGCUGAAAUCAAAAUGACAUUUCUCUUUAAAAAGGAGAUAGUUUGUUGGUAGACCCGAAAUGAGAAUGUCCUGGCCUGGUGCCUACUAGCCUUGAAGUCUGUAAUUUCAAAUGACUUUGCUUGAGUUAUUCGAACC